GGCCAGUUAUGAUGAUGUCAACAAUGGGAAUCUCUCUGAGAAAAACCAUGGAGAGUAUUUGUUAUCUGAACUGGUC
This is a small nucleolar RNA of Mya arenaria, 76 nucleotides long. RefSeq annotates it as small nucleolar RNA SNORD79. The record is from RefSeq and is a predicted model, not a curated record. NCBI's taxonomy places the organism in Eukaryota, Metazoa, Mollusca, Bivalvia, Myida, Myidae. The transcript has a single exon.